UCCAGACUCCUACGGGAGGCAGCAGUGGGGAAUAUUGCACAAUGGGGGGAACCCUGAUGCAGCGACGCCGCGUGGGUGAAGAAGUCAUUCGUGACGUAAAGCCCUAUCAGCAGGGAAGAAAAUGACGGUACCUGACUAAGAAGCCCCGGCUAACUACGUGCCAGCAGCCGCGGUAAUACGUAGGGGGCGAGCGUUAUCCGGAUUCACUGGGUGUAAAGGGAGCGUAGACGGCCAAGCAAGCCAGGGGUGAAAGCCCGGGGCCCAACCCCGGGACUGCCCUUGGAACUGCAUGGCUGGAGUGCGGGAGGGGCAGGCGGAAUUCCUGGUGUAGCGGUGAAAUGCGUAGAUAUCAGGAGGAACACCGGUGGCGAAGGCGGCCUGCUGGACUGCGACUGACGUUGAGGCCCGAAAGCGUGGGGAGCAAACAGGAUUAGAUACCCGAGUA
RNAcentral lists this ribosomal RNA (445 nucleotides) under uncultured bacterium. Its description in RNAcentral is "partial 16S ribosomal RNA". It matches the Rfam family "Bacterial small subunit ribosomal RNA", at positions 330 to 792 of the family's 1533-position model. The record is from RNAcentral.